This is a non-coding RNA of Phoenix dactylifera (date palm), 1574 nucleotides long. The record is from RefSeq and is a predicted model, not a curated record. NCBI's taxonomy places the organism in Eukaryota, Viridiplantae, Streptophyta, Magnoliopsida, Arecales, Arecaceae.
AUUAAGGGCAUACCGACGUGGCGGCAUGUAGACGAGGCUACUCAAUCUGCUAUCAUACAAUCUGUCCUUGACAAGUUCAAAAUCUCGGAUGAUUAUCAUGGCAAUCUAGUAGCUCAGCAAGCUGUCCACAGAAAAUGCUACAAUAUUCACAGAAAUUGGAGGCACAAUAUGAAAUUGCAUUACAAACAUGUUAAGAACGUCUUACAUGUGGAUCCUUAUAGUCAUCCAUACGAACAUGUGACUCAAGAGGAUUGGCGCCACUUAAUUGACGAUGUAUGGAAAAGCAAAGAACACAAGGUAACUUACAUAUUUAGUGCUUCAGAGUUUAUAAGUAAAAUAUUUGAUCAUAAUGUUUUCUUUAGAUUUUUAAUUUGUAUUUUUUUUGAAGGUGAGAUCAAAAGCUGGCAAAAAGAAUAGGAAAAAGCUUGAGUACAAUCAUUGUUCAGGAUCUCGGUCAUUUGUUGCAACAAUGACUAUACAGGUAAUAUAUUUUUGAGUAUGUACUGGCUAUAUUUUUAGUGAAUUGCCUGUGAAACAGUCUAUGGGAUAGUUUUGGCUAUUGUAAAAUAGAUAAUUUGCUGCAAGUAGAUUUUUUAUUCUAGUUUGCUGCAUGUAUAUUUUUGGAAUCAUUUAUGCAAGUAGAUCUGACAGUUAUUCUAGUUUUUUUAUUAUAUAGUGGCUAUAUGCUAAUCUAAAUUACACUUUGCAGCCCGAGUUUAAUGGUUCUGAAAACCUUGAAUUUCCAGAAUUCUAUAAGAAAACUCAUACCAAGAAGAACAAAGAGUGGAUUGAUCCUAUUUGUGCCGUGAAACAUUCAAAGAUGUUGAGCUUGCGAGAAGAAUCUUCCCAAUCCGGUGUGCAAUUAACAUCAGAGGAGAUGUCUAGGCAGGCACUUGAAAAAAGGAAGAGAUACAUUCUUGGAUUUGGGGAUGGGCUGAAGCCCUCUUCAUCUUCUUCCACACCUAGUCGUGUGUCACAAGACCAUGUUGGGGAGUUACAGAAACUUAAAGCUGAGAUGGAGGAGAUGAAGAUGGAGCGUGAGAUGGAGCGUGAGAAGCUGCGGAGGCAAUUGGAACAGGAGAGGAGAGAGCGUGAGGAGAAAAAGAAAGAGCGAGAGGAAGAACAGAAGCAAAUUGCAUCUUACAAGUUUGGUGACAGAGUUCUUAAAGGAAAAGACUCAAACGCAUAAGUCGUCUAUCCAUCAUGAUGGGGCCAUGUCAUCAACUGGUGGCACAAAUACUCGUUGAUACAUGGUGGAGUUAUGAGCAUGUGAAUCUAGUUUUUGGUACAUGGAUAGCUUUUGUUCAGAUGAUCAUGGUGGAGUUGUCUACAAGCAGAAAUCAGUUUUUUGUUUAUUCAUAUUUUUAUCUACAUGAUGGUUGUUUGGAUAAAUUGCAAGAUCAGAUAUUUUGGGAUUUUUAAUUUACAUGUUGAUGUGUUUGGUGAUGAUUAUCACCUUAACAUAUUGUAUGGAUGAAACAUUUUGAUGAAUGGUUAAUAGGUUUGCUUGACUUUAGACUUAUAGAUGAUGAUAUUUAUAAUGAAUGAUUAUGGAUUCUCCAACAUUGUGUAUA